GCUGACUUCGGACCCACGAACUUCAUUACAUUUGGAGAUGGUUCUGUAAUUGGUGUUUUGGACUGGGAAUCUGCUGGAUACUCCCCAAAAUUCUGGAUUGCUACCAAACCGCUUGUUUCUGCCGGACUCUUCUCUCCUCCAGGUUCCGAGAGUAGAGUGGCUUGGGCCGAACUUCUUGCCAGCGCGCUGGAGGAAGAGGGGUUUCUGCGGAGAAUUGACCGAUAUGAGACUUCGAGGAACGUUGUGCUGUCUCCAAAUCUAACCACAGGCAAUAUGGCUGCUUCGUUGGCUGCGCACACAUAUGACCCUGAUUUUCAUGGUGUCCC
This 326-nucleotide small RNA is filed under the name Histoplasma ohiense. RNAcentral describes it as "hypothetical lncRNA". The record is from RNAcentral. Lineage: Eukaryota; Fungi; Ascomycota; Eurotiomycetes; Onygenales; Ajellomycetaceae.